Molecule: unclassified non-coding RNA, 734 nt
Filed under: Hevea brasiliensis (rubber tree)
Lineage: Eukaryota; Viridiplantae; Streptophyta; Magnoliopsida; Malpighiales; Euphorbiaceae
Source: RNAcentral
UUGGAUCCACACCAGGCAUAACAUUAAUUUCAAACUGCACUUCUCUUUCCGGAGGUAAUCCUGGCAAUUCAUCAAGAAAUAUAUCCGAAAAGUCACAUACCGUAGGGAUGUCCCUCAAUGCUAGACUACCCACUUGGGUGUCUAUCACAUGUACCAAGUACGCCUCACACCCCUUCCUAAUCAUUUUUCUGGCCAGUACAGCUGAAAUAAUGUUUGACGGCAAUAACUGCCUCUCCCCAUGUAUUACUACAUCGCCAUACUAAGGAAGACCAAAAGUAACUGUCUUCAGUCUACAAUCAAUCAUUGCAUGAUGCCUGGCUAACCAAUCCAUGUCCAAGAUGAUAUCAUACUCUCUGAAGGGCAUUUCAAUCAAGUCUGACAGGAAAACAUGUCCUUGGAUCACCAAAGGACAGUCUCUAUAAAUUCUGUUGACCCGGACCUCUUGUCCUAACGGACUAGUUACUAGCACUUCAAAACCCAUUUGCACACAUGGAACAGCAAGUGAACUGACUAUGCUAGCACUAACAUAUGAAUGGGUUGAACCCGGAUCAAACAAUACAAAUACUUCUUGAUCAGAGAUAGAGAAUGUACCAGCUACCACAUCAGAAGUCUCAGCCUCUUCUCGCUGUCUCAUUGUGUAGACUCUGGCUGAAGCACUUCCUUGUGCUGACUGACCAACAGUGCCCUGACUGCCAGAUGCAGUGCCUCUACCUCUGCCAACUGACUGUGAACCU